This 305-nucleotide ribosomal RNA is filed under the name uncultured bacterium. RNAcentral describes it as "bacterial SSU rRNA". It matches the Rfam family "Bacterial small subunit ribosomal RNA", at positions 338 to 656 of the family's 1533-position model. The record is from RNAcentral.
CCUACGGGACGCAGCAGUGGGGAAUAUUGGGCAAUGGGCGCAAGCCUGACCCAGCAACGCCGCGUGAAGGAAGAAGGCUUUCGGGUUGUAAACUUCUUUUAUCAGGGACGAAACAAAUGACGGUGCCUGAAGAACAAGCCCCGGCUAACUACGUGCCAGCAGCCGCGGUAAAACGUAGGGGGCGAGCGUUGUCCGGAAUGACUGGGCGUAAAGGGUGCGUAGGCGGCAUAAUAAGUUAGAAGUGAAAUACCCAGAGCUUAACUCGGGUGCUGCUUCUAAGACUGUUGAGCUUGAGUGCGGGAGAG